CAGUGUUGAAUUGAAAGAAACACAGUCUAGCCACCAAAAAACAUGGAUCUCUCCUCAUGGCAGCUGUAGGAAACACAGGAACUCCGUGACCUGGAAAAUGUGGGACAACUGCCACAAGGUGACCCUGGAAGGCUGGGGUUGAGUACCAGUAGAAACCUCAUAUUUACCUGGAAGAUUACUUUUAGGAAGCUUGAAGAAUUCUCUCUUCCAACUUGGUUAAUCUGAGUUCUGUGGCACCUACAAGAGAAAUGGCUGCUUAUAUGUGACAACCUGCAGAUCUGAGCAGCAGGGGAACAAAGGCAGGGCCAACACAAUGGCACUGGUCCCGUUGAGUCCUGGGGAGUCCUCAGCUUUCAGGAGUCCCCUGAAUAUGGGGCAACCCCACAG
This 387-nucleotide long non-coding RNA is filed under the name Homo sapiens (human). Its description in RNAcentral is "HSALNT0091551". The record is from RNAcentral. Lineage: Eukaryota; Metazoa; Chordata; Mammalia; Primates; Hominidae.